This 497-nucleotide ribosomal RNA is filed under the name uncultured bacterium. RNAcentral describes it as "partial 16S ribosomal RNA". It matches the Rfam family "Bacterial small subunit ribosomal RNA", at positions 28 to 507 of the family's 1533-position model. The record is from RNAcentral.
GACGAACGCUGGCGGCGUGCCUAAUACAUGCAAGUUGAGCGCUGAAGGUUGGUACUUGUACCAACUGGAUGAGCAGCGAACGGGUGAGUAACGCGUGGGGAAUCUGCCUUUGAGCGGGGGACAACAUUUGGAAACGAAUGCUAAUACCGCAUAAAAACUUUAAACACAAGUUUUAAGUUUGAAAGAUGCAAUUGCAUCACUCAAAGAUGAUCCCGCGUUGUAUUAGCUAGUUGGUGAGGUAAAGGCUCACCAAGGCGAUGAUACAUAGCCGACCUGAGAGGGUGAGCGGCCACAUUGGGACUGAGACACGGCCCAAACUCCUACGGGAGGCAGCAGUAGGGAAUCUUCGGCAAUGGACGAAAGUCUGACCGAGCAACGCCGCGUGAGUGAAGAAGGUUUUCGGAUCGUAAAACUCUGUUGGUAGAGAAGGACGUUGGUGAGAGUGGAAAGCUCAUCAAGUGACGGUAACUACCCAGAAAGGGACGGCUAACUACGUG